CAAUUCCCAAAAGCAGCCGUUUCCCUCUCCCCAAAAAGAUCUAAUUGGAAAAGGAUGUAAUUCCAUUCCACAAAAUCUCCCUCGCCUCCCUUCAUAACUCUGUUGUUCCCCUCUCAGCUCCCACAUUAUUACUUUAUGAUAUAAAACAAAAGGAACAAACAAAUCUCUACAAAAAACCAAUCAUUAGAACAAACAAACAUAAUCCCCAAAAAAAAAGGUAAAAAAACAGACUCCUCCUAUUUUAUGCGAACACAGCGCCCAACCCCUUUCUUUCUUAGAUUUCCAGCCGGAAAAUCCAAAGAAACGGCGACACUUGCUUUCAACAAAACUGCCACUACAGUGAAGUUGCACUAAAGUUCCGUCCGUCGAGUUCGCUGCCAUCGUUGGAGUCUCGGUCAUGGUUCAGUGAUUCAACGGUCAUCGACUUUUUGUCGGAGUUUGUCUCUGUUGCUAUAUAAUUUGCUUUGGAGAUAAUUUUAUCAAAAGGUUCGCCUCUCAAACUUGUUCUUAACUUCAUACAUUAGUGUUAAUUUUAAUAAAUGUUAAAUCAAGUUUGUGCUUAUUUUGUGAUAGAAUGCCUUUUCUUUAGUUUACUAUGUUGUUUGCUAUGAUGUCUACUAGAUUUGAUGUGUUAAGCAUAUUAAAAUGGUGUCAGUUUGCUUUUUUUUUUUUAUAUAGUUUUAUUAAUAUUGGCUAUGACUCUUUUAUUUGUAGUUUAAAUGCAAAUGAAUAUAAAUAUUGGGAAUGAAGGCAAAGUUAUAGAGUACAGUUUUCGAGGCCAAGAGGAGUUCGAUGUUUAGUCUUUUAGGAAUUAUAUAGCAAUUAGGCAGUUGCCUAUUUACCCAUUGUUACGUGUAUUUAGUGAAAGGAAUAUUUCAAAUCAAUAAUAGUUUCCAUUCAGGUGUAAAAAAAAAAUGGGGCAAAGCUAUCAUGUAAGAUCUUUGAAGCCUACAGUUUUAUAUUAGGCUACUAAUGUGUACAAUAACAUCUAAUGUAAGG
Molecule: long non-coding RNA, 999 nt
Filed under: Nicotiana tabacum (common tobacco)
Lineage: Eukaryota; Viridiplantae; Streptophyta; Magnoliopsida; Solanales; Solanaceae
Description: long non-coding RNA (NTAB_LNC003560)
Source: RNAcentral